CACGUAGGGCGCGAGCGUUGUCCGGAAUUAUUGGGCGUAAAGAGCUCGUAGGCGGCCUGUUGCGUCCGCUGUGAAAGCCCGGGGCUUAACCCCGGGUCGGCAGUGGAUACGGGCAGGCUAGAGGUAGGUAGGGGAGAACGGAAUUCCCGGUGUAGCGGUGAAAUGCGCAGAUAUCGGGAGGAACACCGGUGGCGAAGGCGGUUCUCUGGGCCUGUACUGACGCUGAGGAGCGAAAGCGUGGGGAGCGAACAGG
Molecule: ribosomal RNA, 253 nt
Filed under: uncultured bacterium
Lineage: Bacteria
Description: partial 16S ribosomal RNA
Rfam family: Bacterial small subunit ribosomal RNA
Source: RNAcentral